Molecule: ribosomal RNA, 1287 nt
Filed under: metagenome
Description: bacterial SSU rRNA
Rfam family: Bacterial small subunit ribosomal RNA
Source: RNAcentral
UAGCUAGUUGGUGAGGUAAAGGCUUACCAAGGCGACGAUCUGUAGCGGGUCUGAGAGGAUGAUCCGCCACACUGGAACUGAGACACGGUCCAGACUCCUACGGGAGGCAGCAGUGGGGAAUUUUGGACAAUGGGGGCAACCCUGAUCCAGCCAUGCCGCGUGAGUGAAGAAGGCCUUCGGGUUGUAAAGCUCUUUCGGCCGGGAAGAAAUCGCAUGGGCCAAUACCCUGUGUGGAUGACGGUACCGGAAUAAGAAGCACCGGCUAACUACGUGCCAGCAGCCGCGGUAAUACGUAGGGUGCGAGCGUUAAUCGGAAUUACUGGGCGUAAAGCGCGCGCAGGCGGUUUUGUAAGACAGGCGUGAAAUCCCCGGGCUUAACCUGGGAACUGCGUUUGUGACUGCAAGGCUAGAGUACGGCAGAGGGGGGUGGAAUUCCACGUGUAGCAGUGAAAUGCGUAGAGAUGUGGAGGAACACCAAUGGCGAAGGCAGCCCCCUGGGUCGAUACUGACGCUCAUGCACGAAAGCGUGGGUAGCAAACAGGAUUAGAUACCCUGGUAGUCCACGCCCUAAACUAUGUCAACUAGGUGUUGGGUGGGUAAAACCAUUUAGUACCGUAGCUAACGCGUGAAGUUGACCGCCUGGGGAGUACGGCCGUAAGGUUAAAACUCAAAGGAAUUGACGGGGACCCGCACAAGCGGUGGAUGAUGUGGAUUAAUUCGAUGCAACGCGAAAAACCUUACCUACCCUUGACAUGCCAGGAACUUGCCAGAGAUGGCUUGGUGCCCGAAAGGGAGCCUGGACACAGGUGCUGCAUGGCUGUCGUCAGCUCGUGUCGUGAGAUGUUGGGUUAAGUCCCGCAACGAGCGCAACCCUUGUCGUUAAUUGCCAUCAUUUAGUUGGGCACUUUAACGAGACUGCCGGUGACAAACCGGAGGAAGGUGGGGAUGACGUCGAGUCCUCAUGGCCCUUAUGGGUAGGGCUUCACACGUCAUACAAUGGUCGGUACAAAGGGUUGCCAAGCCGCGAGGCGGAGCCAAUCCCAGAAAGCCGAUCGUAGUCCGGAUUGCAGGCUGCAACUCGCCUGCAUGAAGUCGGAAUCGCUAGUAAUCGUGGAUCAGCAUGUCACGGUGAAUACGUUCCCGGGUCUUGUACACACCGCCCGUCACACCAUGGGAGCGGGUUCCGCCAGAAGUAGGUAGCCUAACCGCAAGGGGGGCGCUUACCACGGCGGGGUUCGUGACUGGGGUGAAGUCGUAACAAGGUAGCCGUAGGGGAACCUGCGGCUG